RNAcentral lists this ribosomal RNA (264 nucleotides) under uncultured bacterium. RNAcentral describes it as "partial 16S ribosomal RNA". It matches the Rfam family "Bacterial small subunit ribosomal RNA", at positions 524 to 787 of the family's 1533-position model. The record is from RNAcentral.
GACAGAGGGUGCGAACGUUGUUCGGAAUUACUGGGCGUAAAGCGCAUGUAGGCGGCAGCGCAAGUCGGGCGUGAAAUCCCACGGCUCAACCGUGGAAGUGCACUCGAAACUGCGCAGCUAGAGUCCUGGAGAGGAAGGUGGAAUGCUUGGUGUAGAGGUGAAAUUCGUAGAUAUCAAGCGGAACACCGGUGGCGAAGGCGGCCUUCUGGCCCGGUACUGACGCUGAGGCACGAAAGCGUGGGGAGCAAACAGGAUUAGACUACC